This 253-nucleotide ribosomal RNA is filed under the name uncultured bacterium. RNAcentral describes it as "partial 16S ribosomal RNA". It matches the Rfam family "Bacterial small subunit ribosomal RNA", at positions 524 to 776 of the family's 1533-position model. The record is from RNAcentral.
UACGUAGGGGGCAAGCGUUGUCCGGAAUCAUUGGGCGUAAAGCGCGUGUAGGCGGCCAGAAAAGUCCGCUGUGAAGACUCGAGGCUCAACUUCGAGCUGUCGGUGGAAACUUUCUGGCUAGAGUCCGGAAGAGGAGAGUGGAAUUCCUGGUGUAGCGGUGAAAUGCGCAGAUAUCAGGAAGAACACCCGUGGCGAAGGCGGCUCUCUGGGACGGUACUGACGCUGAGACGCGAAAGCGUGGGGAGCGAACAGG